GCAGGCGCGAAACCUUUACACUGUACGCAAGUGCGAUAAGGGGACUCCGAGUGUGAAGGCAUAGAGCCUUCACUUUUGUACACCGUAAGGUGGUGUACGAAUAAGGGCCGGGCAAGACCGGUGCCAGCCGCCGCGGUAAUACCGGCAGCCCGAGUGAUGGCCGAUAUUAUUGGGCCUAAAGCGUCCGUAGCUGGCCGGACAAGUCCGUUGGGAAAUCUGUUCGCUUAACGAGCAGGCGUCCAGCGGAAACUGUUCGGCUUGGGACCGGAAGACCUGAGGGGUACGUCCGGGGUAGGAGUGAAAUCCUGUAAUCCUGGACGGACCACCGGUGGCGAAAGCGCCUCAGGAGGACGGAUCCGACAGUGAGGGACGAAAGCUAGGGUCUCGAACCGGAUUAGAUACCCGGGUAGUCCUAGCUGUAAACGAUGCCCGCUGGGUGUGGCGCAGGCUACGAGCCUGCGCUGUGCCGUAGGGAAGCCGAGAAGCGGGCCGCCUGGGAAGUACGUCUGCAAGGAUGAAACUUAAAGGAAUUGGCGGGGGAGCACUACAACCGGAGGAGCCUGCGGUUUAAUUGGACUCAACGCCGGACAUCUCACCAGCUCCGACAGUAGUAAUGACGGUCAGGUUGAUGACCUUACCCGAUGCUACUGAGAGGAGGUGCAUGGCCGCCGUCAGCUCGUACCGUGAGGCGUCCUGUUAAGUCAGGCAACGAGCGAGACCCGCACUCCUAAUUGCCAGCAGUACCCUUUGGGUAGCUGGGUACAUUAGGUGGACUGCCGCUGCUAAAGCGGAGGAAGGAACGGGCAACGGUAGGUCAGUAUGCCCCGAAUGAGCUGGGCAACACGCGGGCUACAAUGGUCGAGACAAUGGGAUGCAACUCCGAGAGGAGGCGCUAAUCUCCUAAACUCGAUCGUAGUUCGGAUUGAGGGCUGAAACUCGCCCUCAUGAAGCUGGAUUCGGUAGUAAUCGCGUGUCAGAAGCGCGCGGUGAAUACGUCCCUGCUCCUU
RNAcentral lists this ribosomal RNA (1007 nucleotides) under uncultured haloarchaeon. RNAcentral describes it as "bacterial SSU rRNA". It matches the Rfam family "Archaeal small subunit ribosomal RNA", at positions 335 to 1338 of the family's 1478-position model. The record is from RNAcentral. Lineage: Archaea; Methanobacteriati; Methanobacteriota; Halobacteria; Halobacteriales; Halobacteriaceae.